Molecule: ribosomal RNA, 736 nt
Filed under: Bacillus sp. LT19
Lineage: Bacteria; Bacillati; Bacillota; Bacilli; Caryophanales; Bacillaceae
Description: bacterial SSU rRNA
Rfam family: Bacterial small subunit ribosomal RNA
Source: RNAcentral
UGCAGUCGAGCGGACAGAUGGGAGCUUGCUCCCUGAUGUUAGCGGCGGACGGGUGAGUAACACGUGGGUAACCUGCCUGUAAGACUGGGAUAACUCCGGGAAACCGGGGCUAAUACCGGAUGCUUGUUUGAACCGCAUGGUUCAAACAUAAAAGGUGGCUUCGGCUACCACUUACAGAUGGACCCGCGGCGCAUUAGCUAGUUGGUGAGGUAACGGCUCACCAAGGCAACGAUGCGUAGCCGACCUGAGAGGGUGAUCGGCCACACUGGGACUGAGACACGGCCCAGACUCCUACGGGAGGCAGCAGUAGGGAAUCUUCCGCAAUGGACGAAAGUCUGACGGAGCAACGCCGCGUGAGUGAUGAAGGUUUUCGGAUCGUAAAGCUCUGUUGUUAGGGAAGAACAAGUACCGUUCGAAUAGGGCGGUACCUUGACGGUACCUAACCAGAAAGCCACGGCUAACUACGUGCCAGCAGCCGCGGUAAUACGUAGGUGGCAAGCGUUGUCCGGAAUUAUUGGGCGUAAAGGGCUCGCAGGCGGUUCCUUAAGUCUGAUGUGAAAGCCCCCGGCUCAACCGGGGAGGGUCAUUGGAAACUGGGGAACUUGAGUGCAGAAGAGGAGAGUGGAAUUCCACGUGUAGCGGUGAAAUGCGUAUAGAUGUGGAGGAACACCAGUGGCGAAGGCGACUCUCUGGUCUGUAACUGACGCUGAGGAGCGAAAGCGUGGGGGAGCGAACA